AGGACGAACGCUGGCGGCGUGCUUAACACGUGCAAGUCGAGCGGAAAGGCCCUUCGGGGUACUCGAGCGGCGAACGGGUGAGUAACACGUGAGCAACCUGCCCUUAGCUUCGGGAUAGCUCCGGGAAACCGGAAUUAAUACCGAAUAUGAUUUUUGCUGACAUCAGCAGAAGUGGAAAGUUUUUCGGCUAGGGAUGGACUCGCGGCCUAUCAGCUAGUUGGUGAGGUAACGGCCCACCAAGGCGACGACGGGUA
This 254-nucleotide ribosomal RNA is filed under the name uncultured bacterium. RNAcentral's name for it is "partial small subunit ribosomal RNA". It matches the Rfam family "Bacterial small subunit ribosomal RNA", at positions 26 to 285 of the family's 1533-position model. The record is from RNAcentral.